GAUGAACGCUGGCGGCGUGCUUAACACAUGCAAGUCGAACGGAAAGGCUCCUGCUUGCAGGGGUAUUCGAGUGGCGAACGGGUGAGUAACACGUGGGUGAUCUGCCCUGCACUUCGGGAUAAGCCUGGGAAACUGGGUCUAAUACCGGAUAGGACCACAUUUUGGAUGGUGUGGUGGAAAGUUUUUCGGUGUGGGAUGAGCUCGCGGCCUAUCAGCUUGUUGGUGGGUAAUGGCCUACCAAGGCGUCGACGGGUAGCCGGCCUGAGAGGGUGUACGGCCACAUUGGGACUGAGAUACGGCCCAGACUCCUACGGGAGGCAGCAGUGGGGAAUAUUGCACAAUGGGCGCAAGCCUGAUGCAGCGACGCCGCGUGGGGGAUGACGGCCUUCGGGUUGUAAACUCCUUUCGCUAGGGACGAAGCGCAAGUGACGGUACCUGGAGAAGAAGCACCGGCUAACUACGUG
This 464-nucleotide ribosomal RNA is filed under the name uncultured bacterium. RNAcentral describes it as "partial 16S ribosomal RNA". It matches the Rfam family "Bacterial small subunit ribosomal RNA", at positions 28 to 507 of the family's 1533-position model. The record is from RNAcentral.